RNAcentral lists this ribosomal RNA (567 nucleotides) under Triticum aestivum (bread wheat). RNAcentral's name for it is "partial small subunit ribosomal RNA". Lineage: Eukaryota; Viridiplantae; Streptophyta; Magnoliopsida; Poales; Poaceae. The record is from RNAcentral.
AUGCAGAAACCUUAUGAUGAUGUUGAAGCACUUCUGCACCUGUCUCCAGUUUCUGCCAUGUCGCUCCUGGAUGGGGUAACCAUUGAAGGGGGUACUGCACUGCAUGUGGCGGCCGCAUAUGGUGAGAGUGAUGGCUUCCUGUCGAGCGCUGACAUCAUCCGUAGUAAGGCGAAGCGCCUCCUGUUUGUGCAAAACAAGAGCGGCGACACGCCCCUGCACUGUGCUGCACAGGCAGGGAUGUCCCGAAUGGUCCGUCAUCUCAUUACUCUGGCCAGAGAAGAGAAUACAGGUGUUAACAGAGCAAAGGAACUCCUUGAAAUGGAAAACAAGCUCAAGGAGACAGCACUGCAUCAAGCAGUCCGCAUUGGAAAUAAUGAUAUAGUCAAGCUGCUAAUGGAGCACUCAGAGUUGGCCAUUUUUUCGAAAGACGGCACUUCGCCUCUGUACCUGGCCAUCUUGCUGGAAGAAGACAUCAUUGUUGAGACACUUUUUAAUGCAAGUCACAAGGAGCUUUCCUAUUCUAGGCAAAAUGGACAGAAUGUGUUGCAUGCUGCGUUUCUCCGAGGU